CGUGCUAAUCUGCGAUAAGCGCCGGUAAGGUGAUAUGAACCGUUAUAACCGGCGAUACCCGAAUGGGGAAACCCAGUGUGACUCGUCACACUAUCAUUAACUGAAUCCAUAGGUUAAUGAGGCGAACCGGGGGAACUGAAACAUCUAAGUACCCCGAGGAAAAGAAAUCAACCGAGAUUCCCCCAGUAGCGGCGAGCGAACGGGGAGGAGCCCAGAGCCUGAAUCAGCAUGUGUGUUAGUGGAAGCGUCUGGAAAGGCGCGCGAUACAGGGU
This 272-nucleotide ribosomal RNA is filed under the name Salmonella enterica subsp. enterica serovar Waycross. RNAcentral's name for it is "partial 23S ribosomal RNA". It matches the Rfam family "Bacterial large subunit ribosomal RNA", at positions 57 to 365 of the family's 2925-position model. Lineage: Bacteria; Pseudomonadati; Pseudomonadota; Gammaproteobacteria; Enterobacterales; Enterobacteriaceae. The record is from RNAcentral.